Myotis brandtii (Brandt's bat) is the source of this 185-nucleotide non-coding RNA. The record is from Rfam. Lineage: Eukaryota; Metazoa; Chordata; Mammalia; Chiroptera; Vespertilionidae.
AAGAUGAUACUUUCAGGGGUCAUUUCUAUAGUUUGUUACUAGAAGGCCUGCAGGCUAGACAUGAACAGACAGAAGCAGGACAAUGACUUGAAAAGUCCAGCGUUUUUGUUUUCUAACUUUUAUAUAAGGCAAAUGCAAGCCAAUCUAUUUAGAACACACUGUCUGCAGGAAUUGUUCGCACUGCU